RNAcentral lists this long non-coding RNA (1391 nucleotides) under Monodelphis domestica (gray short-tailed opossum). RNAcentral describes it as "lncRNA (ENSMODG00000048935.1)". Lineage: Eukaryota; Metazoa; Chordata; Mammalia; Didelphimorphia; Didelphidae. The record is from RNAcentral.
CGAAUGGAAAGCUUAGGCAUAGAUCAGGCUUUCUAAUUAUUUCAAGACAUUUCCAUUUUACUUAUUGUAUAUAACAUAGUUUCCUACUGAAGUAUGUUCUUUGUUAUCCAAUACCUUUAUUAAACUACCAGAACAUAAGCCUUUUAAUUUCCCUCUUCAAGAAAUGUCCUGUAUAAUGUUUUACAUUUCUAAUAUGGAUCAAAAUUUCAUUGGAAAUUUUUUUCAGUUUCUUCAUAGUCUCGUUGAUGUGGAUUUUCCUCCAGGCACACAGAUUGAAAGCCAGUCAUAUCAAGGGGAAUUCUUCUGGAUUCAUUAUCAGAAGGAAGAUCGGGACUUUGAGGAGAAGAGCUGAAAAGAGCAUAUUAUAUGGAGACCUAAAGAGAAGAAUUAAGGAAACUGAAUCUGUGAGAGACUGUAGUUUAUCCAGUGUCCUCCAGCACAUGUGUUGAGGUAUGAUUCAAAUUCAGGUCUUACUUUUUUAAUUUGGAAAAUUUUAUUUAAUUCAUUAAUUUAGAACAUUUUUCCAUGGUUAUAAGAUUCAUGUUCUUUCUCUCCCAUACUCCACCCUCCUCCCAUAGAUGACACAAUUCCACUGGGUUUUACAUGUGUCAUUGAUCAAAACCCAUUUCCAUAUUAUUGAUAUUUGCACUAGGGUGAUUGUUUAGAGACAACAUAUCCAACAAUCUCCCCAUCAACCCAUGUAAUCAAGCAGUUGUUUUUCUUCUAUGUUUCUUCUUCCACAGUUCUUCCUCUGAAGGUGGAUAGUUCAAGUUUUUCUGAUGCCAGGUGUUAUGCUUUGCUCCAUACUACCUCUCUUCCAUCUUUUCCCCUCAACAUUUUUGUAAAUGAAUUUAUAUUCUAAUUUAGUGAUACCUUCUAUUCAGAUGCCUUUGGUGACAAGAAUAUAUUGUGUUUUCUGUUUUUACUUCAAUGCUGGAAGAGGAUCUGGGCUAGAUAUAUAACAGAUGGAAGGAAGAUGGAUGGGCAGGCCAAAUGCUGAUGAUGUUUUCCAUACUAUUAGGAAACCUUUAGUCCUCUAGUACACAGAGAGAAUACUUUAUGGAUGACUUCAGGAAACUGUAAACAUGAAUCACAUAGGAUAAGCACCAACAGAUUGAGACUUUAUUGGUAGAAGCUCUCACAUUAAAGAAUUCUCAGAGUCAAUGAAAUAUUGAAAGAAGGAAUAUGCUUAUGUAUAUAAAGAAGUAAAAAAAUUCUGUAGUAUGAAGAAGUUAUGAGAUCAGAUAGUAGCAGUCUAUUUUUGGGAAUCUCAUUUCUGCCUCCUUCAUGAUUGUAUUCUACUCAGAUUUUGACAUUUAGAAUGAAUGAGAUAACCUUAUCAGAAAACAUUACACUUGAAAAGGGAAAAUAAAUAUACAUCUAUGAUAGCA